ACGCUGGCGGCGUGCCUAAUACAUGCAAGUAGAACGCACAGGAUGCACCGUAGUUUACUACACCGUAUUCUGUGAGUUGCGAACGGGUGAGUAACGCGUAGGUAACCUGCCUGGUAGCGGGGGAUAACUAUUGGAAACGAUAGCUAAUACCGUAUAAGAACAUUUACUGCAUGGUAGAUGUUUAAAAGGUGCAAGAGCAUCACUACCAGAUGGACCUGCGUUGUAUUAGCUAGUUGGUGAGGUAACGGCUCACCAAGGCAACGAUACAUAGCCGACCUGAGAGGGUGAUCGGCCACACUGGGACUGAGACACGGCCCAGACUCCUACGGGAGGCAGCAGUAGGGAAUCUUCGGCAAUGGGGGGAACCCUGACCGAGCAACGCCGCGUGAGUGAAGAAGGUUUUCGGAUCGUAAAGCUCUGUUGUUAAGGAAGAACGUGUGUGAGAGUGGAAAGUUCACACAGUGACGGUACUUAACCAGAAAGGGACGGCUAACUACGUGCCAGCAGCCGCGGUAAUACGUAGGUCCCGAGCGUUGUCCGGAUUUAUUGGGCGUAAAGCGAGCGCAGGCGGUUAGAUAAGUCUGAAGUGAAAGGCAGUGGCUCAACCAUUGUAGGCUUUGGAAACUGUUUAACUUGAGUGCAGAAGGGGAGAGUGGAAUUCCAUGUGUAGCGGUGAAAUGCGUAGAUAUAUGGAGGAACACCGGUGGCGAAAGCGGCUCUCUGGUCUGUAACUGACGCUGAGGCUCGAAAGCGUGGGGAGCGAACAGGAUUAGAUACCCUGGUAGUCCACGCCGUAAACGAUGAGUGCUAGGUGUUAGGUCCUUUCCGGGACUUAGUGCCGCAGCUAACGCAUUAAGCACUCCGCCUGGGGAGUACGACCGCAAGGUUGAAACUCAAAGGAAUUGACGGG
Molecule: ribosomal RNA, 910 nt
Filed under: uncultured bacterium
Lineage: Bacteria
Description: bacterial SSU rRNA
Rfam family: Bacterial small subunit ribosomal RNA
Source: RNAcentral